AUUGAACGCUGGCGGCAGGCUUAACACAUGCAAGUCGAACGAGCGGCGGACGGGUGAGUCAUGUCUGGGAAACUGCCCGAUGGAGGGGGAUAACUACUGGAAACGGUAGCUAAUACCGCAUACCAUCAGAUGUGCCCAGAUGGGCUUAGCUAGUAGGGGGGGUAAUGGCUAACCUAGGCGACGAUCCCUAGCUGUUCUGAGCGGAUGACCGGCCACACUGGAACUGGGACACGGUCCAGACUCCUACGGGAGGCAGAAGUGGGGAAUAUUGCAAAAUGGGCGCAAGCCUGAUGCAGCCAUGCCGCGUGUAUGAAGAAGGCCUUCGGGUUGUAAAGUACUUUCAGCGAGGAGGCGUUACUCGCAGAAGAAGCACCGGCUAACUCCGUGCCAGCAGCCGCGGUAAUAC
RNAcentral lists this ribosomal RNA (406 nucleotides) under uncultured bacterium. RNAcentral describes it as "partial 16S ribosomal RNA". It matches the Rfam family "Bacterial small subunit ribosomal RNA", at positions 30 to 526 of the family's 1533-position model. The record is from RNAcentral.